CGAGCGGGCGUAGCAAUACGUCAGCGGCAGACGGGUGAGUAACGCGUGGGAACGUACCUUUUGGUUCGGAACAACACAGGGAAACUUGUGCUAAUACCGGAUAAGCCCUUACGGGGAAAGAUUUAUCGCCGAAAGAUCGGCCCGCGUCUGAUUAGCUAGUUGGUAGGGUAAUGGCCUACCAAGGCGACGAUCAGUAGCUGGUCUGAGAGGAUGAUCAGCCACAUUGGGACUGAGACACGGCCCAAACUCCUACGGGAGGCAGCAGUGGGGAAUAUUGGACAAUGGGCGCAAGCCUGAUCCAGCCAUGCCGCGUGAGUGAUGAAGGCCCUAGGGUUGUAAAGCUCUUUUGUGCGGGAAGAUAAUGACGGUACCGCAAGAAUAAGCCCCGGCUAACUUCGUGCCAGCAGCCGCGGUAAUACGAAGGGGGCUAGCGUUGCUCGGAAUCACUGGGCGUAAAGGGUGCGUAGGCGGGUCUUUAAGUCAGGGGUGAA
This 491-nucleotide ribosomal RNA is filed under the name uncultured bacterium. Its description in RNAcentral is "bacterial SSU rRNA". It matches the Rfam family "Bacterial small subunit ribosomal RNA", at positions 63 to 598 of the family's 1533-position model. The record is from RNAcentral.